UUUGGACGUUGGAGAUCACACUGUGC
RNAcentral lists this non-coding RNA (26 nucleotides) under Cricetulus griseus (Chinese hamster). The record is from RNAcentral. Lineage: Eukaryota; Metazoa; Chordata; Mammalia; Rodentia; Cricetidae.